Long non-coding RNA from Pleuronectes platessa (European plaice), 660 nucleotides. RefSeq lists it as uncharacterized. The transcript has 2 exons. NCBI's taxonomy places the organism in Eukaryota, Metazoa, Chordata, Actinopteri, Pleuronectiformes, Pleuronectidae. The record is from RefSeq and is a predicted model, not a curated record.
AGAAUGACUAGCAGUAAGUUUCUGGAGGGAAAUAUGACCCAAAAGAAGAAAUAAAAACAUAACGGUUGAAAUCCUCUUUGAAAAGUGACUUUUCUUCUGAUUCACCACAAGCUUUUCUUCAGAGCUGCGUCUGGCAGCAGCUGUGUCAGUACCUGCUUUGGGGUAGGUGGCGAUGAAGAUGUCCGAGGGGUCCGGACGAAAAGCCUGGAUAGAGUCAAAGUUGUUGGCGAUGUAGUUCAUGAGAGGAAUCCCUCUGAUCGGGAUGAGAGGGAAGCGAGAGAUGGAGUCGUUGGCCUUCUGAAUGGCCUCGCUGUAGGACACCUCUUCCUGCUCGGACAUGGCUGACACUGUCAAGAAGAAGCCAACAAGCAGAAGCUAAAAUUCAACUGCAAAGUGAUCCAAGCAACAGCAGUGGGCCGGUUCUUCUGGGAGAUCCUCUCUCAGCUGCAGCUUCCAAGCCUUUGUCAAACAUUCAGUGUUGACUGGUUCAUAAAUUCCAACGUGGGAAACCUCUUCCUGUUUUGUCAAGCCCACGAUCCGUGUGUUUGAAUCCUGGUCACUCCUCUUGGGUCUGCUGCUCAGAGCUGUCCUGGUUUUGUCUCCUCUUGCUUUAAACCCCUCUCCAACAUCUGCAUCCAAUAGCAGGAGUCUCUCUGCAGU